RNAcentral lists this ribosomal RNA (353 nucleotides) under uncultured eukaryote. Its description in RNAcentral is "bacterial SSU rRNA". It matches the Rfam family "Eukaryotic small subunit ribosomal RNA", at positions 592 to 1018 of the family's 1831-position model. The record is from RNAcentral.
CAAUAGCGUAUAUUAAAGUUGUUGCAGUUAAAAAGCUCGUAGUUGGAUUUCAAAGUGUAUAUGAGGGGAUUCCCUCUAAAGCUUAUCAGUCCGUAAGGACUGUUACUGUGAGAAAAUUAGAGUGUUUCAAGCAGGCAAUUGCAGGAAUACAUUAGCAUGGAAUAACGAGUGUGUCUAGAAUCUUGGUUAAUUCUAGAUUACGAUUAAUAGGGACAGUUGGGGGCAUUAGUAUUUAAUUGUCAGAGGUGAAAUUCUUGGAUUUAUUAAAGACUAACAUAUGCGAAAGCAUUUGCCAAGGAUGUUUUCAUUAAUCAAGAACGAAAGAUUGGGGAUCAAAGAUGAUCAGAUACCGU